RNAcentral lists this long non-coding RNA (371 nucleotides) under Elaeis guineensis (African oil palm). Its description in RNAcentral is "long non-coding RNA (EGUI_LNC052126)". The record is from RNAcentral. Lineage: Eukaryota; Viridiplantae; Streptophyta; Magnoliopsida; Arecales; Arecaceae.
ACUUCGGUUAGGGAGAGCUUAGGGGCCGCUGGAUGUGAGCGCGCAAGGAACAGGGCCAUCCAUGGAUGGCUUCGGCGUCGGCAAGGAUCGCGGGCAUGCCAGAUGGCCCCGGGCCCAUCGUGGGGAAUGGGGUGACUCCGGACGUUGUGGGAGGUAGAUCAGCGCUGUGAGUGGUGGAUCGGCGUCGUGAGAGGUGGUCGGCACCGUCGGGUGUACAGGGGGUGCACGGGAAUCUCCACGGACUGGGACUGCCUUGGUCGGGCGGUGGGAUCAGCCCCUUGAGCCCCUCCUCAUCGUGCUGGUCGUACAUCACUUGCCGCCAAAGAUGGAGGGGUUUGAAGGGUGGUGAUGGUGCUGUAGGUUGUCAUAAG